GGGUUCUGCGUGGUGGAAGAGGCCAGGCUCUUGGUGGCUCCUUUAGCCUUGUCGGAGGCUUCCUUCACUGGACCCCUGAGCAGCCGCUGGGGCGUCUCUCCUGCGUCUGCACAAAACCAAAACACUGGCUGUGACUUGAAUUUCACGUUAAGCCGCUACACGUCAUUUGCAUACUUACCAGGGCGCUGAGGCUGACGUCUGAAGGUGCCGGUGGGGCAGAAUCACACAACAGCGAUAACGCAUCGGCACCAUAUUUUGCCAUAAGCAUGCUUUUUUUUGUUGUUGUUGGCUUUUUGUCCAAUCAAGAAGUGAUUCUGAUUGGAUGGACAAGGAGCUUUUCCUCUAUUAAUGUUUUUUAGAUGCUGUGUUUGUCGUGUGGACCAACCUUGCAGAUUUGACAGCGCGUAUUCCAGCCCUUUCAUAGCUUUCGCUUGGUUGCUUUUGAAGCGGGCCAAUCCAAACUCCUGAGUGCAGACAAGGAGGAACAACAGGAAAGUCGUUUACAUGCAGGACAGAUAUGAAGAGCAUGACUUCCUGUUUUGAAUUUUUACGCCCUGCGGCAAAAAAUGUACUUUCUUGCACAAAGCAGUUGAAUGUGUGUAAACAAUUUAAGGUGAGGAGUUUGCGGUAUUAACGAGACGAAAAGUUAUUCGGAGACCUGGAUGGGUCGAGAGAAGCCGUAAAUGCUGGAGGAGAUCCAUGCCUCUCGUUUCAGUUGGGUGACUCCCGGCAGCUCUUCCGAGUCUCGGAAAACACAACGCUCCUCCACCGACUGGUGGGAAAACAAAGAAAAAGAUAAGUCCAACAAAGCUUUUUGUGAAACAAAAUAAUCAAAUUGCCUGAUGACAGCUUCCAAAGGUUUUUUGGACCAUUUGUAGAGUUGCAGUGGUGACCGCAAAUCACCUUCAUUGGUCUAUAUUUCAUUUCAGUGGAUCGGCUUUCUCACCAUGAGAGUGGUGUGGUUGAGGUUCCAGGUGUACGUUGUCAGACUCCGGCUGACCGGGUCCACGAUGGAGUCCUCCACAAUGUACACGGAGCGCGACAUGCCAGUGGGGAAGAAGCGCUCGGCCCAGCGCGGCAGCCGGUUGGUCUUGGUGAGCAGACGUCUGGAAAGGAGCCGGUGGUCCGUGGUCACCUCGCGGUGCACGACAUCCUCCGUGAGAACGUGCGUGCUGGACAACCACAGGAACAUUCAAAGGUGAUCGAAGACAACAACAUCAACGAUGUUAUGUGUUACCUGAAGGGGUUGGGAUAGCGCUGCCAGAACGCAGACACGACAUGGUCCCACGUGUCGCCGAUGUCACUUUUGUUAGUAAAGUACUUGACCAUUGUUCUGCUGAUGGUGGUCCGACUGAUGUGUCAAAGUGCAGUCACUUGUGACGACACCAU
Molecule: long non-coding RNA, 1389 nt
Organism: Syngnathus acus (greater pipefish)
Lineage: Eukaryota; Metazoa; Chordata; Actinopteri; Syngnathiformes; Syngnathidae
Exons: 2
Source: RefSeq, a predicted model, not a curated record